Molecule: ribosomal RNA, 253 nt
Filed under: uncultured bacterium
Lineage: Bacteria
Description: partial 16S ribosomal RNA
Rfam family: Bacterial small subunit ribosomal RNA
Source: RNAcentral
UACGUAGGGGGCCAGCGUUGUCCGGAUUUACUGGGCGUAAAGAGCGCGUAGGCGGUCUGAUUAGCGGAGGGUGAAAUCCCGGGGCUCAACUCCGGGGCUGCUCUCCGAACUGUCAGACUAGAGUGCGGGAGAGGGCAGUGGAAUUCCUGGUGUAGCGGUGGAAUGCGUAAAUAUCAGGAGGAACACCUGUGGCGAAGGCUGCUGCCUGGAACGUUACUGACGCUGAGGCGCGAAAGCUAGGGGAGCGAACGGG